UAGGGAAUCUUGCGCAAUGGGCGAAAGCCUGACGCAGCGACGCCGCGUGUGGGAUGAAUGCCUUCGGGUUGUAAACCACUUUCAGCAGGGACGAAGCCUCACGGUGACGGUACCUGCAGAAGAAGCCCCGGCUAACUACGUG
RNAcentral lists this ribosomal RNA (142 nucleotides) under uncultured bacterium. RNAcentral's name for it is "partial 16S ribosomal RNA". It matches the Rfam family "Bacterial small subunit ribosomal RNA", at positions 355 to 507 of the family's 1533-position model. The record is from RNAcentral.